RNAcentral lists this transfer RNA (68 nucleotides) under human gut metagenome. It matches the Rfam family "tRNA", at positions 5 to 66 of the family's 71-position model. Rfam says of the family: Transfer RNA (tRNA) molecules are approximately 80 nucleotides in length. Their secondary structure includes four short double-helical elements and three loops (D, anti-codon, and T loops). Further hydrogen bonds mediate the characteristic L-shaped molecular structure. tRNAs have two regions of fundamental functional importance: the anti-codon, which is responsible for specific mRNA codon recognition, and the 3' end, to which the tRNAs corresponding amino acid is attached (by aminoacyl-tRNA synthetases). tRNAs cope with the degeneracy of the genetic code in two manners: having more than one tRNA (with a specific anti-codon) for a particular amino acid; and 'wobble' base-pairing, i.e. permitting non-standard base-pairing at the 3rd anti-codon position. RNAcentral also lists the same sequence under 4 other names. The record is from RNAcentral.
GAUUAGCUCAGUUGGUUAGAGCACCUGCCUUACAAGCAGGGGGUCACAGGUUCGAGUCCUGUAUCGCC